RNAcentral lists this ribosomal RNA (476 nucleotides) under Rhacophorus malabaricus. Its description in RNAcentral is "partial 12S ribosomal RNA". It matches the Rfam family "Bacterial small subunit ribosomal RNA", at positions 848 to 1525 of the family's 1533-position model. The record is from RNAcentral. Lineage: Eukaryota; Metazoa; Chordata; Amphibia; Anura; Rhacophoridae.
AAUUUACAUCUGCNAACGCCAGGGUACUACGAAGCCAUAGCUUGAAACCCAAAGGACUUGACGGUGUCCCAUCCAACUAGAGGAGCCUGUUCUGUAAUCGAUAAUCCACGAUAAACCUAACCAUUUCUUGCCCAUCAGCCUGUAUACCUCCGUCGCAAGCUCACCGUAUGAACGCACAACAUUGGGCCAAAUGGUCUUUCACCAUAACGUCAGGUCAAGGUGCAGCUAAUGAAAUGGAAGAGAUGGGCUACAAUUUCUAAACUAGAACAAACGAAAUACUACAUGAAACAUAGUCAUGAAGGUGGAUUUAGCAGUAAGUAGAAAAUAGAGAGUUCUACUAAACCUGGUCCUGGGACGUGUACAAACCGCCCGUCACCCUCUUCGAUAGCCUUUAAUUUAGUUUUUAACACAAUUUCGCGUCUUAGAAGAGGCAAGUCGUAACACGGUAAGUAUACUGGAAAGUGUACUUGGAACAA